Molecule: transfer RNA, 71 nt
Filed under: Loxodonta africana (African savanna elephant)
Lineage: Eukaryota; Metazoa; Chordata; Mammalia; Proboscidea; Elephantidae
Rfam family: tRNA
About the family: Transfer RNA (tRNA) molecules are approximately 80 nucleotides in length. Their secondary structure includes four short double-helical elements and three loops (D, anti-codon, and T loops).
Source: Rfam by way of RNAcentral
GUGUUGAUGAUUCAGUAGUAGAAAUCUCACCUUUCGUGCAGAAGAUCCAGGUUCGAUUCCUGGUCGAUAUA